UACGUAGGGUGCAAGCGUUGUCCGGAAUUAUUGGGCGUAAAGAGCUCGUAGGCGGUCUGUCGCGUCGGCUGUGAAAACCUGAGGCUCAACCUCGGGCCUGCAGUCGAUACGGGCAGACUAGAGUUCGGUAGGGGAGACUGGAAUUCCUGGUGUAGCGGUGGAAUGCGCAGAUAUCAGGAGGAACACCGGUGGCGAAGGCGGGUCUCUGGACAGUUCCUGACGCUGAGGCACGAAGGUCAGGGGAGCAAACGGG
RNAcentral lists this ribosomal RNA (253 nucleotides) under uncultured bacterium. Its description in RNAcentral is "partial 16S ribosomal RNA". It matches the Rfam family "Bacterial small subunit ribosomal RNA", at positions 524 to 776 of the family's 1533-position model. The record is from RNAcentral.